ACGAGGACCAUUGGAGGCCAGUCUGGUGCCAGCACCCGCGGUAAUUCCAGCUCCAAUAGCGUAUAUUAAAGUUGUUGUGGUUAAAAAGCUCGUAGUUGAACCUUGGGCCKGGCUGGCCGGUCCGCCUCACCGCGUGUACUGGUCCGGCCGGGCCUUUCCCUCUGUGGAACCCCAUGCCCUUCACUGGGUGUGGCGGGGAAACAGGACUUUUACUGUGAAAAAAUUAGAGUGCUCCAGGCAGGCCUAUGCUCGAAUACAUUAGCAUGGAAUAAUAGAAUAGGACGUGUGGUUCUAUUUUGUUGGUUUCUAGGACCGCCGUAAUGAUUAAUAGGGACAGUCGGGGGCAUCAGUAUUCAAUUGUCAGAGGUGAAAUUCUUGGAUUUAUUGAAGACUAACUACUGCGAAAGCAUUUGCCAAGGAUGUUUUCAUUAAUCAGGAACGAAAGUUAGGGNAUCGAAGACGAUCAGAUACCGUCGUAGUCUUAACCAUAAACUAUGCCGACUAGGGAUCGGACGGUGUUAUUUUUUGACCCGUUCGGCACCUUACGAGAAAUCAAAGUGCUUGGGCUCCAGGGGGAGUAUGGUCGCAAGGCUGAAACUUAAAGAAAUUGACGGAAGGGCACCACCAGGGGCGGAGCCUGCGGCUUAAUUUGACUCAACACGGGGAAACUCACCAGGUCCAGACACAAUGAGGAUUGACAGAUUGAGAGCUCUUUCUUGAUUUUGUGGGUGGUGGUGCAUGGCCGUUCUUAGUUGGUGGAGUGAUUUGUCUGCUUAAUUGCGAUAACGAACGAGACCU
Molecule: ribosomal RNA, 798 nt
Filed under: uncultured Hypocreales
Lineage: Eukaryota; Fungi; Ascomycota; Sordariomycetes; Hypocreales
Description: SSU rRNA
Rfam family: Eukaryotic small subunit ribosomal RNA
Source: RNAcentral